UAGAGUUUGAUCCUGGCUCAGAUUGAACGCUGGCGGCAUGCCUUACACAUGCAAGUCGAACGGCAGCACGGGAGCAAUCCUGGUGGCGAGUGGCGAACGGGUGAGUAAUAUAUCGGAACGUGCCCAGUCGUGGGGGAUAACGCAGCGAAAGCUGUGCUAAUACCGCAUACGAUCUCUGGAUGAAAGCGGGGGACUCGCAAGAGCCUCGCGCGAUUGGAGCGGCCGAUAUCAGAUUAGCUAGUUGGUGGGGUAAAAGCUCACCAAGGCGACGAUCUGUAGCUGGUCUGAGAGGACGACCAGCCACACUGGAACUGAGACACGGUCCAGACUCCUACGGGAGGCAGCAGUGGGGAAUUUUGGACAAUGGGCGCAAGCCUGAUCCAGCAAUGCCGCGUGCAGGAUGAAGGCCUUCGGGUUGUAAACUGCUUUUGUACGGAACGAAACGGCUCUUUCUAAUAAAGAGAGCUACUGACGGUACCGUAAGAAUAAGCACCGGCUAACUACGUGCCAGCAGCCGCGGUAAUACGUAGGGUGCGAGCGUUAAUCGGAAUUACUGGGCGUAAAGCGUGCGCAGGCGGUGAUGUAAGACAGAUGUGAAAUCCCCGGGCUCAACCUGGGACCUGCAUUUGUGACUGCAUCGCUAGAGUACGGUAGAGGGGGGAUGGAAUUCCGCGUGUAGCAGUGAAAUGCGUAGAUAUGCGGAGGAACACCGAUGGCGAAAGCAAUCCCCUGGACCUGUACUGACGCUCAUGCACGAAAGCGUGGGGAGCAAACAGGAUUAGAUACCCUGGUAGUCCACGCCCUAAACGAUGUCAACUGGGUUGUUGGGUCUUUACUGACUCAGUAACGAAGCUAACGCGUGAAGUUGAC
RNAcentral lists this ribosomal RNA (870 nucleotides) under uncultured bacterium. RNAcentral describes it as "bacterial SSU rRNA". It matches the Rfam family "Bacterial small subunit ribosomal RNA", at positions 1 to 869 of the family's 1533-position model. The record is from RNAcentral.